GCCUUCGUGGUGUAGUGGUCAGCACGCUCGAGGUGUAUGCGAGAGGUCCGGGGUUCGAGUCCCAGUGAGGGCA
Stegodyphus mimosarum is the source of this 73-nucleotide non-coding RNA. Lineage: Eukaryota; Metazoa; Arthropoda; Arachnida; Araneae; Eresidae. The record is from Rfam.